This 3792-nucleotide long non-coding RNA is filed under the name Olea europaea subsp. europaea. The record is from RNAcentral. Lineage: Eukaryota; Viridiplantae; Streptophyta; Magnoliopsida; Lamiales; Oleaceae.
CUCAAUCGCUCGUUCAAGGUUUCAACCUCUCUCCUCGUAGCCAGUGACUCUGUACUUGCAAUAGUAGUAAAAUUCCUGAAUAUUUGGAGUCGGUCAUGGUGAUGAACAUCAAUCUCAACAGUUGUGUAUCAACAUCCAUCAAUGGUGGUGGAACUGGGAACAUCUCAACAUCUUCUACCCCUGGCCCUGUGCAGCCUACUACUGUCUAAGGUGCUCUUAUUCUAACUUUUUCGUGUGCCUCUUCGAGCUCUAUCCUAAGCCUCCAAGUAGUGCGAUUGACGAAAGUGCUAGCCGUCUUAGGUAGUUCUCCAAAUGGGUUAGUCACGCCAACUCUCUUAUAAAUCUAGCUAAUCAGACUUGGGAAUAUUAAUGAACAAUGACAAUACUCCCAAGUUCCUUAUGCUUGUAUCAGAUCAUAGAAAAAUGUCAUUAAAUUAAUCUUCCGUCUCCUCAUCAAGUGGUAAUUGAAAAUCUUUAAGAUCAUUGAAUGUGGUCUGGUGUGUGGUAGGCUCGAUGUUGUGGCGCAUGAAUAACGAGAUAGCGAUGGAAGGUGUAAGCUCAAUCUGAUGCCACUCAUCAAUCUACAAUGGCCAAUCAUUCACUCGCCUACAUAGAAUUUCUCCUACUUCAUUCCAAUUGAAAUUUUCAGGAAUUUGCACAACAUUCAUGUAGUGAACAUAAUCUCCUUGUCCCCUCACCCAUGUCUGAUAUAGAUAAAGAGCCAGGAGAUAAGGAAUCCACCAUGCUUUCGAAAGAUGGAAGGAGUCCUCCAUACGAAUAUUGGACCUCGAGUCCCUUUCUUAUGUCGCGAUAAGGAUACUUCUAAAGCAUGUUCGUAAACAUAUUUCAAGCCUCAUCAAAGGAUUCGAAUUCACCUUGAUAGAAAAUAGAUAUGUCAUACUUCAACUUCGCUAUUUUGGCUGUAGGAAGAACUUUGUGUGGAACUUUUAAGCUAGAUCAUUCCUAGUGUUGAUACUGACAAUGGAUUGGGAAUCCAGUCACUCAAGUGCUCUAUCACAUAGAGUAUGUGGAAAUAGCCUUAGUCUGAUAGCAUCAUUUGAAAUCCUCUUAUACAAAAAAUGUUGAUACAUCUCCAAGCAUUGAGAGACGAGCAUAUGUGGAUUUUCCUCAACUCUACCAUAAAAUUGAUGUUCAUUUUGAAAUAGAUGGAUGAUGUUGGUCUUCAGCUGAAAGUUAGGCUGCCCAAAUUGAGGGUACAUAAUGCUGGAUUGACUCUAAAUGAUCUAUAGGAUUAUGAAAUCCCCAACAGGCAUAUUUUCCUCAUCAAUGGCUUCUUCCUUUUCACUUGAAUUACUGGGUUAUUUUGCUCGUUAACCAUUUGUAUUUGCUUUUUUUGGUCUUUUUGCUAUGCUGCUCUUGCUUUCCUUUACCUACAAUAAAAAUUGCAUUAGAUUUUCGGAUUAGCUGGAAUCAGUUCAUCGUUAAUCAACCUUCGCAUAUAAGAAUUGAAGGAAGAACAAUAGUAGCACUUAUAUAAACUAAUAUAGAAAAAAUAAAUAAACUAAAAAUGUUUGAAUUAGGGCCAAAGUAAAUAAAAUCAAAUUAAAAUUCAAUCCCGGAACGAGUGUCAAAAACUUGUUACGAAAUAUAUGUGUUCGUUUAAAAUAUCGCAAGUGUACGAUUUGUUAACCAGUAAUAACAUGAAUUUGAGUCCAAAUAUUGUUCUCAUAGAGAUUGAUUUAGUUCAAUUUUAAGUAAAAACCUUAACUGACACAAUGACAAAAUGACGAUUUUGUUUAUGACUAAAUUUUAACUAACAUUAUCUAAAUAUGCAACUAUUACUAAAUUAACUAGGCUUAAUACAAAUUAUACUAAAUGCAAGUUUAUGUGUUCUUAUGAAUGACAAGCGUACUAGAAUCCCGAAACCCCUUCUAGUAAUCCCUUUUAACCUUAGUUCUACAAUUUGACAACAUGAUUUAAUUAUGAAGAAUUAUCACUCCUAUUUUAUUUAAUAAUCUCUCUCGAGUAAAGUUAAACAUAUUCUCAUAUAUGAUUCGAUUAUAUUUCUAUAAUGGAUAAGAACAUACAAGAAUGAAUGAAUUUUUAUGAACAACUAAAGAUUUACAUAGAGUAUAACGGUUAUUUUAUCUCUUAUCGAAUCAUAUGACGAUUAAUACAACUACCAUGUACAAUAAUUUUGAAGAAUAGAUAAUCAUAUAUAUCGUUCAAUAAUAAAAAUGUGCUUUUAAUAUCAAAUAUGUAAAAUUAAAGAUUAAAAACUCAUAAUACAAGGUUCAUCGUUCUCUUAGCACAAAGAAAUCUAGCCUAACAUGGUAUUAAGAAUAAUACAAGAAUUAUAAAAAAUCGACAUCACCCAAAAUAUAUCUUGAAUUGGAUCUUGAAAUCUAGGAAUUGCUCUUGAUGUUUCUUGCUGCAUUCUAUGCUCUCAGAUUAGUUGUAAUGUGUGCUCGUCUAUUUUUAGAUGACCUUAGGCCUUAGAAGACCUCUCAAAGAUUGUUUCCGUAAGAGUUGGAGUCAUAUAAAAAAAUCAGAUUUUUUCCUCCGCGAAAUGCCUAUGCGACCGCAUAGGGUUAAGGGAUGGGACCGCAUAGCUCUUCAAUGUUGAGCUCUUGAAAUCCUUGGAUGAUGUAAUAUGAUCGCAUGGAUGAAAUGGCUAUGCAACUGCAUAGCCAGUCAUAAAAUUUUAGAUUUGCAUUUUAGUCCAUGAAACCCGUUUUCUCGUUCUUUGAUCUCUUUUUUCCACUUCUUCUUCUUUCAAGAUUUUAUUCCUUCGCUCAAUUGGUCUUUGACGCUUUCACAUCUUCAUUUCUUAUGCCGGAUCAUCUUUUGACUAUUCUUAAUUUGGUCCUUGAACUUUAUUUUCCUCCAUUUUGGUCCUUUUUUGCUUGUUUACUUCAAUUCCACUGUAUUUAUCAAUGUUAUCCGACAAAACACAAUUUUCAUAGGAAAAAGCCAUAUUCCAAUAUAGUUUAUCAACAAAUAUUCAUAUUUUAUGACCUAAAUAAGUGUAUAAAAUACACUUAUCACUAUCCAUUUUAAUCAGCCACCUAAUAAAUUAAACCUUAAGCUAUUAAAUAAGAGAGCACCUUUGUUAAUUUAUUUGACAUUUGUAAAAAAUCAAUUGAGUAGUAACUUCAUUACCUGAAACAGAAGUAUGGACCAAAUGCACCACCAGAUUUAUCGACUCAAUUCUUCAAGGUUUAUAUUAACUUAUCGAAAGAAAACUCAUUUUCACUCGGGCAAUACAGAUAUUACUUCUCAUUUUCUGACUCUUUCAAAGAAAACAAAAAAGCAUUUCUAUAUUUGUAUUCAAAUUGGCCAUUAUUCCUAAUCUAAUUUUUUCUGCAUUCGGAUUCAUUUAUUAUUAGACUUCAUGAGAAAUCUAAUACUAGAUUGUUGUUGUUGGAAUGGCUACGGCACAGGUGCUUCCUUGCCUCUUAUCAUGCCAUGGCUGGACGUGAAUGAAAUGUGCAGAUGAUGUGUACUUCGACAGGGAUGGUAGCAAGGCAGAGUAACAUUUAUUGACAAAUGUGCAUGGAACAACCCAAAUUCAGCGUAUCACACCUGAAGACUAUCCACAAUUAAGUAUUCUAGCACAUGAUUAGGAGUAAAGAACAAUUAUUUGGCUCGGAUACUAACGUCAAAGACUUUAGCUGUUUAACAAUAGGCCAUGCAUUGACAAAAGGUCCAGCCAGCAUAUAUAGUGUUGGAUGUUUUAAGCAAAAUAGCUUUCUUAUUCCUAGUGAUAUGGGUAAACCCAUUUAGAAGCUCAUUGUAACAUAAGAUUCCUUGCUACAAUAUAUACCCUCG